This 506-nucleotide ribosomal RNA is filed under the name uncultured bacterium. RNAcentral describes it as "partial 16S ribosomal RNA". It matches the Rfam family "Bacterial small subunit ribosomal RNA", at positions 30 to 523 of the family's 1533-position model. The record is from RNAcentral.
AUUGAACGCUGGCGGCAGGCUUAACACAUGCAAGUCGAGCGGCAGCGGAAAGUAGCUUGCUACUUUGCCGGCGAGCGGCGGACGGGUGAGUAAUGUCUGGGAAACUGCCUGAUGGAGGGGGAUAACUACUGGAAACGGUAGCUAAUACCGCAUAAUGUCGCAAGACCAAAGAGGGGGACCUUCGGGCCUCUUGCCAUCAGAUGUGCCCAGAUGGGAUUAGCUAGUAGGUGGAGUAACGGCUCACCUAGGCGACGAUCCCUAGCUGGUCUGAGGGGAUGACCAGCCACACUGGAACUGAGACACGGUCCAGACUCCUACGGGAGGCAGCAGUGGGGAAUAUUGCACAAUGGGCGCAAGCCUGAUGCAGCCAUGCCGCGUGUAUGAAGAAGGCCUUCGGGUUGUAAAGUACUUUCAGCGGGGAGGAAGGUGUUGUGGUUAAUAACCACAGCAAUUGACGUUACCCGCAGAAGAAGCACCGGCUAACUCCGUGCCAGCCACCGCAGUAA